CAGGCUUAACACAUGCAAGUCGAGGGGCAGCAUUUCAGUUUGCUUGCAAACUGGAGAUGGCGACCGGCGCACGGGUGAGUAACACGUAUCCAACCUGCCGAUAACUCGGGGAUAGCCUUUCGAAAGAAAGAUUAAUACCCGAUGGUAUAAUCAGACCGCAUGGUCUUGUUAUUAAAGAAUUUCGGUUAUCGAUGGGGAUGCGUUCCAUUAGGCAGUUGGUGAGGUAACGGCUCACCAAACCUUCGAUGGAUAGGGGUUCUGAGAGGAAGGUCCCCCACAUUGGAACUGAGACACGGUCCAAACUCCUACGGGAGGCAGCAGUGAGGAAUAUUGGUCAAUGGGCGCAGGCCUGAACCAGCCAAGUAGCGUGAAGGAUGACUGCCCUAUGGGUUGUAAACUUCUUUUAUAUGGGAAUAAAGUUUUCCACGUGUGGAAUUUUGUAUGUACCAUAUGAAUAAGGAUCGGCUAACUCCGUGCCAGCAGCCGCGGUAAUACGGAGGAUCCGAGCGUUAUCCGGAUUUAUUGGGUUUAAAGGGAGCGUAGGUGGACAGUUAAGUCAGUUGUGAAAGUUUGCGGCUCAACCGUAAAAUUGCAGUUGAUACUGGCUGUCUUGAGUACAGUAGAGGUGGCGGAAUUCGUGGUGUAGCGGUGAAAUGCUUAGAUAUCACGAAGAACUCCGAUUGCGAAGGCAGCUCACUGGACUGCAACUGACACUGAUGCUCGAAAGUGUGGGUAUCAAACAGGAUUAGAUACCCUGGUAGUCCACACAGUAAACGAUGAAUACUCGCUGUUUGCGAUAUACAGUAAGCGGCCAAGCGAAAGCAUUAAGUAUUCCACCUGGGGAGUACGCCGGCAACGGUGAAACUCAAAGGAAUUGACGGGGGCCCGCACAAGCGGAGGAACAUGUGGUUUAAUUCGAUGAUACGCGAGGAACCUUACCCGGGCUUAAAUUGCAUUUGAAUAUAUUGGAAACAGUAUAGCCGUAAGGCAAAUGUGAAGGUGCUGCAUGGUUGUCGUCAGCUCGUGCCGUGAGGUGUCGGCUUAAGUGCCAUAACGAGCGCAACCCUUAUCUUUAGUUACUAACAGGUCAUGCUGAGGACUCUAGAGAGACUGCCGUCGUAAGAUGUGAGGAAGGUGGGGAUGACGUCAAAUCAGCACGGCCCUUACGUCCGGGGCUACACACGUGUUACAAUGGGGGGUACAGAAGGCAGCUACCUGGUGACAGGAUGCUAAUCCCAAAAGCCUCUCUCAGUUCGGAUCGAAGUCUGCAACCCGACUUCGUGAAGCUGGAUUCGCUAGUAAUCGCGCAUCAGCCAUGGCGCGGUGAAUACGUUCCCGGGCCUUGUACACACCGCCCGUCAAGCCAUGAAAGCCGGGGGUACCUGAAGUACGUAACCGCAAGGAGCGUCCUAGGGUAAAACUGGUAAUUGGGGCUA
This 1436-nucleotide ribosomal RNA is filed under the name uncultured organism. Its description in RNAcentral is "16S ribosomal RNA". It matches the Rfam family "Bacterial small subunit ribosomal RNA". The record is from RNAcentral.